This is a long non-coding RNA of Apis cerana (Asiatic honeybee), 860 nucleotides long. RefSeq lists it as uncharacterized. NCBI's taxonomy places the organism in Eukaryota, Metazoa, Arthropoda, Insecta, Hymenoptera, Apidae. The record is from RefSeq and is a predicted model, not a curated record.
ACUUUAAAUGCAUUUUUCUUCAAAUAUAUUUUUUGAAUAUAUAAGAACAUAAUUGUAAGUGAUAUAGAAUGAAUGAGACUGUGCAUGAUCGUAGGAACAUAUGAUGAGUGAGAUAUAGAUAGAGAAGUGGACGAGUGUCAUGGAGGAUGAUCGAGAAGUGCGAGGUUAGAGAAAUAAUAUAUUAUUUGUAGGAUUCAAUAUUAUAAUAUUAAAGUAAAAAGUUAAUAAAAUUUAAGUGCAAUAAAUAAAUAUAAAUUAAGACAAAUAUACAAUUUAUUUAAUAUAUAUUCCUACAAUAAUAAAUCUAUCAAUUUGAUUCGAUUCGAUUAAUUCGCGAUUAUUUGAAGUUUCGAUUAUUCAUUCGAUUAUCCAGUGUCUUCCGUUUAGUGGUAUCAAGUUCGUGUUCUCUUUUGUUUCUGUGAUUAUUUUUCCUUCUUUUCUCGUUAUUAAGAAUUAUGUGCAUCUUUUGUUUAAUAUAAACACAAGCAUCAAGUUUUUCUAUUCUAUAAUUAAUCGCAUUUCUAUUUCUACAACUCUUUUCAUUAGAAUUUUCUCCAUUCGUUAUUCACCAAUUUUUGAGUUGUUUCUUCUUGAAUUUUGAUUAUUUUGGUGGACUUCGUUUUAUUUGAGCUGUUUGUUCUUCGUUUAAACCAGUUAAUCAAGAUGCUACAUAAAUUGACAAUUAUCUUCGAGAAUCGGCAGUUUGCGAGGAUGUCCCUGCACGAGGCGCGUUUACAAGCCUUCUUCUCUUAACAUCUCCAUCCUGUGCCCGUGCCAUCGACGAGGAUACCAUCCUGCGAGGUGUUAGCUCGAGGCAGGGAUCGGCUCACGGGGUGGAGGCGCUAUAAAAAUAAAGGAAA